Long non-coding RNA from Triplophysa dalaica, 2720 nucleotides. RefSeq lists it as uncharacterized. The transcript has 3 exons. The record is from RefSeq and is a predicted model, not a curated record. Lineage: Eukaryota; Metazoa; Chordata; Actinopteri; Cypriniformes; Nemacheilidae.
GGUAGACUCAUCUUCACGAAGGUUCCAUUGGAUUAAACAACGUACAUUGUGGCUUUUUAGUCCAAAGAAGAACAUAUGAGCAGGAAUGCUGAACUCCUGGAAAACAGAGGGUUUUUGCUGAUGAAGAAUGUGAGACGAUCAGAAGAUUGGCCGCUGCCACAAGGUUAGGCAUAUGUUCGGUGCCGGUGGUCCACUGGACUGUGCAGCCACAUGUUGGCAGUAGGCUACUUGGGUGAUCUGAUUUCAAGUCCCAGUUAGUGGUACUUUCCUGACUCCUGUUCCCAUCUCUCUUGUCUCACUCUCCGCUAUCCUAUAAUAUAAGCUACAAUGGCAAUAAAAUAAUAAUUCUUAAUAAAAAGGUCAGGCACAUUAGUUAACUUCCAUACAGUAUACUGUACUGUAUAAUUGAGAUCUUUCACCUUGGGAUAAAGGUUGCUGUUCUUGGGAUUAAUGGUCACCUUUUCGAAAAUCUGUUUCUCUGCUGCACCUGGUGGUGAUGGUCCAAUCCCAGCUCACAUAAAAGGUGUCUGGUGUUGUCCUAUCAACCUUAUCUGAUGGCAGAUAACCUUAUCCCUAUUGCACUGGUAGAGUGAACACUCACAUGGUCGAAUUCGUUCAGAGCAACAUCUAAGGACCUUUUGGGAGAAACUUUUUUAUCCAUUUUGUUUUUCGAAGCUUACAACGUGUUGUAACCGUAGUAACUAUUGUAAGCAGUAAUGAAAUCAGAGACCUUCUCCCUCCCUGUACACCAAUGAAAGCACCUACUGACCUCUCUGUCAAGCUCCUGAAGUUCGCAGACAAUGCCACAGUUCUUGGCCUCAUACCUGUCGGCGACGAGUCUGCUUUCAACAGCAACAACAUUUAUUUAUAUAGCACAUUUAAGAAACAACAGAUGUUGAGCAAAGUGCUUCACAUUGAAUAAAAUUUUAAUAAAACAAGACAAAAAAUAUGACAUAAGAAACUGAAAAAUAAAAAUAUCAUAGUAGAAAUGGAUCAUGGAAUGCUAAAUAGCAAUAAAAAUAGAAAAGUUUGUAAGGCCGAUUUGAAGGUUGACAAAGACUAGGUAGAUCGGACCGGACAGCUGUUCCAUAACUAAAGUACAGCGAUUGCAAAAGCACAGUCACCUCUAUUUUUAAGUCUAGAUCUGGGUAUGGCAAGCAGGUCAGAGUCCCUGGUUCUAAGUGUUCUUGAAUGAGAGAGUGGAUGGAGUAAGUCAGAGAGAUACUGUUGGCGUUGGUUUCACAAGUACUUAAAAACAAAUAAUAAAACUUUAAAUUCAAUCCUGUAUCUAACCGGUAGCCAGUGGAGGGAAAUCAGAACUGGUGUGAUGUGGGAUCUUUUACGCUUCCUUUUAAGGAGCCUCGCUGCAGCAUUUUGAACUAAUUGCAAACAUGAGACACAUAUCUGAGAAGCUCCAAUAUACAAUGAGUUGCAGUAGUCUAGACGAGAUGUUAUAAACGAAUGCAUUGCAGUUUCAAAGGCUUUAGCAGACAGAAAAGGCUUAACCUUGGCUAAGAGACGAAGGUGAUAAAAACAGGAUUUGACCACAGUACCUAUAUGCUUGUCUAAUUUAAGAUUGCUAUCCAGCAAUACCACACGAUUUCGGACACAGGUUGUACUAUAGGAUGACAGAAAAUCAAGAUCGAGAUCAUGAACACUGCGCUAAUUUGAACCAAACAAGAUCAUUUCAGUCUUGCUCUCGUUGAGAAAAAAAAUCUAUAAAGCCCAAGUUUAAGUUCACCUACACAGUUUAGAAUAGGCUUUAAGAGAUUUUGUGUCAUCAGCGUACAGAUGAAAAGAUACUCUAAAUUUAGUUAAUAAACUGAGGUUGAGCAGAUGGCUGUCUGGUGCAGUCAUAACAACCUGGAGCUAAACACCUUAAAAACAGUGGAGAUGAUAGUGGACUUUAGGAGAAACCCCCCGGCACCCCCCACCACUCACUCACAUCAUGAACAUCACUGUGGCCGCAGUAGAGUCAUUCAGGUUCCUUGGCACCACCAUCUCACAGGACCUGAAGUGGGACAUUCACAUUGACUAUAUUGUAACAAAGGCCCAACAGAGGUUCUACUUCCUUCGCCAGCUGAGGAAGUUCAACCUGGAACAGGAGCUGCUCUUACAGUUCUACUCAGCUGUCAUUGAAUCCGUCCUCUGCACUUUCAUCACUGUCUGGUUCGGCUCAGCUGCAAAAACUGACCUCCGAAGACUACGGAUAGUCCGGAAUGCUGAGCGAAGAGCUGGCACAAUGCACUUUCCAAGAACUGUACUCAUCCAGAGUGAGUGAAAGAACACGCAAAUUCACUUAGGAUCCUCUCUUUGAACUGCUGCCAUCUGGUCGGCAUUACAGAGCAAUGAGCAUCAAAACAGCCAGACAUAGGAAAAGUCUACAUCAUGAACAGUUAUAUGUUAUACUGUGCAAUAAAAAACAUUUGCAAUACACAACUAUACAUACUCACAUUUAUUAUACACAUGUUAUUGAUAUAAUAUUCAUCUAUCCACAUUCCCCUGCAUAACCUGUACUGUAUAUACCACAUAUAAUUUGUAUGUAGCACAUCUAAAUAUGCAAAAUACUGCCUAUUGUCUUUUUGUCUAAUAUUGUCUUUUUUGUCAAAUGUGUAUUGCCUCUCACGUAUUUAUUUUUACGUUUUGUUACCUGUGCCUUGUCCCUUUUUAACCUGUAUGUGCACUGGAAGCUUUUGUCGCUAAGACAAAUUCCUUGUGUG